CCAAUAGCGUAUAUUAAAGUUGUUGCAGUUAAAAAGCUCGUAGUUGAAUUUCGGGAUUUGUCAGUUGGUCGGGCUUAACUGUCCGUACUGAUUUGAUGGAUUCCUACCUUCUGAAUAACCAGCAUGCUAUUAAUUUAGUGCGUUGGGGAAGCAGAUCUAUUACCUUGAAAAAAUUAGAGUGCUUAAAGCGGGCUAGUGCUUGAAUAGAUUAGCAUGGAAUAAUAAAAUAGGACGGCAUGGUUCUAUUUUGUUGGUUUCUAGGAUCACCGUAAUGAUUAAUAGGGAUAGUUGGGGGCAUUAGUAUUCAAUUGUCAGAGGUGAAAUUCUUGGAUUUAUUGAAGACUAACUUCUGCGAAAGCAUUUGCCAAGGAUGUUUUCAUUAAUCAAGAACGAAAGUUAGGGGAUCGAAGACGAUCAGAUACCGUCGUAGUCUUAACCAUAAACUAUGCCGACUAGGAAUCGGACGAAGUUAAUUUUUUAAUGACUCGUUCGGCACCUUACG
Molecule: ribosomal RNA, 502 nt
Filed under: uncultured Glomeromycotina
Lineage: Eukaryota; Fungi; Glomeromycota
Description: partial small subunit ribosomal RNA
Rfam family: Eukaryotic small subunit ribosomal RNA
Source: RNAcentral